RNAcentral lists this ribosomal RNA (960 nucleotides) under uncultured bacterium. Its description in RNAcentral is "bacterial SSU rRNA". It matches the Rfam family "Bacterial small subunit ribosomal RNA", at positions 1 to 959 of the family's 1533-position model. The record is from RNAcentral.
GNGNGACACNCAUGUAGAGUUUGAUCAUGGCUCAGGAUGAACGCUAGCGGCAGGCCUAAUACAUGCAAGUCGAACGGUAAGGCUCCUUCGGGAGUACACGAGUGGCGCACGGGUGCGUAACACGUAUGCAAUCUGCCCUUAACUGCAGGAUAGCCCUCGGAAACGGGGAUUAAUACUGCAUGUGGUAAUUAAGUCUCAUGGCUUGAUUACUAAAGAUUUAUCGGUUAAGGAUGAGCAUGCGUCUGAUUAGCUAGUUGGUAGGGUAAUGGCCUACCAAGGCGACGAUCAGUAGGGGACCUGAGAGGGUGAUCCCCCACACUGGAACUGAGACACGGUCCAGACUCCUACGGGAGGCAGCAGUAGGGAAUAUUGGUCAAUGGGCGAGAGCCUGAACCAGCCAUGCCGCGUGCAGGAAGACGGCCUUCUGGGUUGUAAACUGCUUUUAUACGGGAAGAAACGACUCCUGCGGGAGGCAUUGCCUGUACCGUAUGAAUAAGCACCGGCUAACUCCGUGCCAGCAGCCGCGGUAAUACGGAGGGUGCAAGCGUUGUCCGGAUUUAUUGGGUUUAAAGGGUGCGUAGGCGGUUUAUUAAGUCAGUGGUGAAAGUUUGCGGCUUAACCGUAAAAUUGCCACUGAUACUGAUAAACUUGAAUUAAGUUGAGGUAGGCGGAAUUCGUGGUGUAGCGGUGAAAUGCAUAGAUACCACGAAGAACACCGAUAGCGUAGGCAGCUUACUAAGCUUAUAUUGACGCUGAGGCACGAAAGCGUGGGUAGCGAACAGGAUUAGAUACCCUGGUAGUCCACGCCGUAAACGAUGAUCACUCGCUGUUGGGCGAUAGACAGUCAGCGGCCAAGCGAAAGCGUUAGUGAUCCACCUGGGGAGUACGUCCGCAAGGAUGAAACUCAAAGGAUUGACGGGGGUCCGCACAGCGUGGAGCAUGUGGUUUAAUUCGAUGAUA